AACGAACGCUGGCGGCAGGCUUAACACAUGCAAGUCGAACGCCCCGCAAGGGGAGUGGCAGACGGGUGAGUAACGCGUGGGAAUCUACCCAAUUCUUCGGAACAACACAUGGAAACGUGUGCUAAUACCGGAUGAGCCCUUCGGGGGAAAGAUUUAUCGGAAUUGGAUGAGCCCGCGUUGGAUUAGCUAGUUGGUGGGGUAAAGGCCUACCAAGGCGACGAUCCAUAGCUGGUCUGAGAGGAUGAUCAGCCACACUGGGACUGAGACACGGCCCAGACUCCUACGGGAGGCAGCAGUGGGGAAUAUUGGACAAUGGGCGCAAGCCUGAUCCAGCCAUGCCGCGUGAGUGAUGAAGGUCUUAGGAUUGUAAAGCUCUUUCACCGGUGAAGAUAAUGACGGUAACCGGAGAAGAAGCCCCGGCUAACUUCGUGCCAGCAGCCGCGGUAAUACGAAGGGGGCUAGCGUUGUUCGGAUUUACUGGGCGUAAAGCGCACGUAGGCGGACUUUUAAGUCAGGGGUGAAAUCCCGGGGCUCAACCCCGGAACUGCCUUUGAUACUGGGAGUCUUGAGUUCGAGAGAGGUGAGUGGAAUUGCGAGU
Molecule: ribosomal RNA, 598 nt
Filed under: uncultured Phyllobacterium sp.
Lineage: Bacteria; Pseudomonadati; Pseudomonadota; Alphaproteobacteria; Hyphomicrobiales; Phyllobacteriaceae
Description: bacterial SSU rRNA
Rfam family: Bacterial small subunit ribosomal RNA
Source: RNAcentral